RNAcentral lists this ribosomal RNA (372 nucleotides) under uncultured bacterium. RNAcentral's name for it is "bacterial SSU rRNA". It matches the Rfam family "Bacterial small subunit ribosomal RNA", at positions 524 to 898 of the family's 1533-position model. The record is from RNAcentral.
UACGGAGGAUCCAAGCGUUAUCCGGAAUCAUUGGGUUUAAAGGGUCCGUAGGCGGCCUAGUAAGUCAGUGGUGAAAUCUCCCCGCUCAACGGGGAAACUGCCAUUGAUACUGCUAGGCUUGAAUUACUGGGAAGUAACUAGAAUAUGUAGUGUAGCGGUGAAAUGCUUAGAGAUUACAUGGAAUACCAAUUGCGAAGGCAGGUUACUACCAUUAUAUUGACGCUGAUGGACGAAAGCGUGGGGAGCGAACAGGAUUAGAUACCCUGGUAGUCCACGCCGUAAACGAUGGAUACUAGCUGUUCGGCAGCAAUGCUGAGUGGCUAAGCGAAAGUGAUAAGUAUCCCACCUGGGGAGUACGAACGCAAGUUUGAA